Molecule: ribosomal RNA, 413 nt
Filed under: uncultured bacterium
Lineage: Bacteria
Description: bacterial SSU rRNA
Rfam family: Bacterial small subunit ribosomal RNA
Source: RNAcentral
GUGUCAGCCGCCGCGGUAAUACGUAGGUGGCGAGCGUUGUCCGGAAUUACUGGGCGUAAAGGGCGAGUAGGCGGCCAGUUGUGUCAGAUGUGAAAGGCUAGGGCUUAACCCUAGCAGCGCAUUUGAAACUGACUGGCUUGAGUGUAGGAGAGGGAAGCGGAAUUCCUAGUGUAGCGGUGAAAUGCGUAGAUAUUAGGAGGAACACCAGUGGCGAAGGCGGCUUCCUGGCCUAUGACUGACGCUGAUGCGCGAAAGCGUGGGGAGCAAACAGGAUUAGAUACCCUGGUAGUCCACGCCGUAAACGAUGGGUGCUAGGUGUGGGAGGUAUCGACCCCUUCCGUGCCGUAGUAAACACACUAAGCACCCCGCCUGGGGAGUACGGUCGCAAGACUGAAACUCAAAGAAAUUGGCGG